RNAcentral lists this ribosomal RNA (247 nucleotides) under uncultured bacterium. Its description in RNAcentral is "partial 16S ribosomal RNA". It matches the Rfam family "Bacterial small subunit ribosomal RNA", at positions 523 to 769 of the family's 1533-position model. The record is from RNAcentral.
AUACGAGAGGUGCAAGCGUUAUUCGGAAUCAUUGGGCGUAAAGGGUGCGUAGACGGCGCAUUAAGUCAACUGUUAAAUCUCCUGGCCUAACUGGGAAAAUGCGGUAGAUACUGAUGUGCUAGAGGAUGGAAGAGAGAAGUGGAAUUCUCGGAGUAGCGGUAAAAUGCGUAGAUCUCGAGAGGAACACCGAUGGCGAAGGCAGCUUCUUGGUCCAUUCCUGACGUUGAGGCACGAAAGCGUGGGGAGC